UACAAUUAUACACUGAUGCCACACAGCUGUGCAGUCAAUAAGAAUUUAAUUACACAAGUCACACAGCUCUUAAAUUAUGUUAAAAAUGGGGAAAAUAAAAUAAUUUGGGGAUUCCAGUGGCAAGCAUUGGUGUCUCAGUGAUACAUCACCAUGUCAUUUUCUCCGUCUUUGGUGUUUUUUUAAACCUCAGGUAUGCAUGUUAGCUGGAUUAACUGGAAAUUUUAACUUAUCCCAUGGAAAUUUUAACUUGUCCCAUUUUAGUAAAAGUGUAGAAGUGUGUGCGUUUGUGUGUGAGAUGGCUCUGCAAUGGACUGGCAUGCCCUCAAUCUGUUUCCUGCCUUGUGUCUGAUACUGCUAAGACAGACUUCAUCCAGUCCCACAUGAUCUGGAAUUACAGUUAGUAGAUUUGCAGUUUACUGUUUAAUUUUGUUAAUGCAAUCAUGGUAGACUUUUUUCAGCUAUAUUUUGAGAGAUUAUUUAAAUUAACAAGGAAUAGCCUGUGAGAUACAUUUAAUUAAAUUAAGUGAAACACUCUGAAACUUUACAUUUUAAAAUAUUUAAUGUCAAUAUAAAUGAAAUGUUAAUGAAUAUAAAAUGUUAAUAUAAAUGUCAUCAAGAAUUUUGCUUAUUAACUUCAUUCUUAUGCCAAGAUUUGAAUCCUGCAUAAAUUGAGCAGAACUAUACUUUUCUAUAUCAACAAACGACUGAAAUAAUGUUUUUAAAAAUGUAUUUAUCAAUGUUGACAAUAGAAAAAAAUCGACUAACAUUAACUUACUCUCACACUUUAAAAAAUACUAAAUAAUAUGAAUACUAAUUAAUGUCUAUUAUUAAGAAACAUUACCAUAGAUAUCACAGGUUUGAUAAUCAUGUUGAAUACAUUCUGCAAAAUUUCAGAUUUUACAGUUUUAGCUAGAAGGAAAUCGACAAGAGGGAGUACAAUCCACAGAAGGACAAGGCAUUUAAUUGGCUGAUUGACUGUCAAGGCUACAAUCACUGUAGGUUAAUGAGACCAAUAAGCAGUCAGAGGAUGGGGUGGGGCAGUCACAACAUAGAAGAAGACUUCAUGCAAAAAAAAAAGGAAGCAAGCAUGUAUCAUGCUUUGUCAGAGCUACAGAGGGUAAGAAGUGACAUUGUUAUUUCACAAUUAAAAUUAAAUUUCAUACCCGAAAAAA
Long non-coding RNA from Erpetoichthys calabaricus (reedfish), 1172 nucleotides. RefSeq lists it as uncharacterized. The record is from RefSeq and is a predicted model, not a curated record. The transcript has 2 exons. NCBI's taxonomy places the organism in Eukaryota, Metazoa, Chordata, Cladistia, Polypteriformes, Polypteridae.